GACCGCAUAGCUCAGUUGGCAGAGCAUUGGGCUAGUAUUCCAAAGGUCGUAGGUUCGAAUCCCACUGUGGCCG
Non-coding RNA from Paramuricea clavata, 73 nucleotides. Lineage: Eukaryota; Metazoa; Cnidaria; Anthozoa; Malacalcyonacea; Plexauridae. The record is from the annotation of a GenBank genome assembly.